UAAUCUGUAGAGAGAGUCAAGUGUACGUGACACUGCCUAGGGCUCGAGCCCGGUGAACUCGAUUAUCCGAUGCGGACACAUUCACCUGCGGUGUGCUGCGACCCAGUACGCCGCAGGGCAUUUGUCUACUCGCGCUAGCAAAGAGGACACUGCAAUCCAUUAAAAAACAGUUUUCGCGUCGAGAAACAAAGGCCCCCCCAACAGUUCCCCUUUUAAAACCCCUGCGCCGGGGGGGGGCUUUAACUGCACGGGGUUUUCGCUCCCGCGCGCGAAAUAUAUCCCCCGACACCGGGGGGGUUCUCCCCGCGGGGCCCCAGGAAUUGUAUAUCGAAGAAAAAAUAUCGAGUUCUCUGCGAACCCUGUUGAACGGGCCCCGAGGGAUAUAUA
RNAcentral lists this ribosomal RNA (387 nucleotides) under Aedes aegypti (yellow fever mosquito). Its description in RNAcentral is "partial 28S ribosomal RNA". Lineage: Eukaryota; Metazoa; Arthropoda; Insecta; Diptera; Culicidae. The record is from RNAcentral.